Molecule: long non-coding RNA, 3028 nt
Organism: Acinonyx jubatus (cheetah)
Lineage: Eukaryota; Metazoa; Chordata; Mammalia; Carnivora; Felidae
Exons: 2
Source: RefSeq, a predicted model, not a curated record
UGGACAUUUCCAUUUGGAAGCAUCCCUCGUUUCUUUGUCUCUGCGAAGGUCUAGGAAUGGAACGAGGACUUCUGACUCUAGUUCAGUGCACUCCAAAGUUCUGGAUAUGGGGUGAUCCAGCGUUGUAAUUUACAAUACUGGAACGGUCACCGGGAAAAGGCCAAGGGGAAAACACCCCGGAAGUCACAACAGGAAGAUGGCGCUUGGAAUCAUUUGAAGUGCAUGAAGAUCUCACCUAAAAGGGCGAUGCUAAGGCACUGACCCCAGGCAGUUACGCUUCCUUUUGCUGCCCCAUCAACUCCACCUGGACACGCGGUCCGUGCAGCAGUUCAGCAACCCACUCUGAGGUAAGCACGUACCUAAGUCAUCAGAUGACAUCAUAAGCACAGUUGUGCAGGGGGUCGUUCUUGAACGAAAGGAGAUUUAGAGAUGAAAAACAUUUAUAAAAGUUAGUCUCGGCAAUAAAAAUCUGCUGGGAUUAUUAUUUUUUAAAAAGCCUCACUGCACAAAUGUCAAGGUUGCCCAUUAUGCUGAGCUUUGGUUGGCAGCGGCCUGUAGGCCCAGCAACCACCUGGUUCCUCCAUGGCGCCCAGACCUCCGUGGCCAAAAGUAGCUGGUUGGCUGCCCUGGAAGGCAAGAGGGACCAAGCCGUCUGAGACUUGAAAAGAUGUGCGUGGUCAGGCUGCCCCAAAUCUCCAAGUGGGGCCCGUGAGUUAGCUGCUUACUCAAGAUAGGACACAAGGAGUGUGAGAACACAAAAGGUACCAGGGGCCGUGGCCCAGACUAGUGGAAGGAGGGUGGAGAUGGGGGCAUUUCUGAACAAGUCACAACAGGGAGGCAGUGACAAGAGGAGGAAAAGCCAGGAAUGAAGAGGAGGGGAUAUAAAGACGAAAGAGCAGGAACGGAUAGCAGUUACAUGAAGCAUUGAGAUUGGGGCCAACGCCGGAACUCUGGCACUGGGAUUCAAUUAUCACUGCCAUUUAAACUGGUGGUGAGAGGUGCCUGGGUGGCCCAGUCAGUUAAGCGUCCGACUUCGGCUCAGGUCAUGAUCUCACGGCUUGGGAGUUCGAGCCCCGUGUCGGGCUCUGUGCUGACAGCUCAGGCUGGAGCUGCUUUGGAUUCUGUGUUUCCUUCUCUCUCUGUCCCUCUCCUGCUCGUGCUCUGUCUUUGUCUCUCAAAAAUAAACAUUAAAUAAAUACACUGGCGGUGAGUAUACGCGUGCACAUCCUUCAGAGGGCUUGCAAGUGUUCACCUGUAAUUCUCUGUGGCCCUCUAGCAUACCUGGCAACUAUUUCUUAAGCACCCUUUCUUGAGAAACUGGAAGGUGAGAGGCCCUGCCCUCCAGGGGCUGCUGACCUGGAGGGAGUGCGGCUACAAGAGGGAAAGGUCCUGCUGACAGCAUACAACCAGCCCAAAGAGGAACACGGAGAAGCUUCCCAAAGGCUCUAAUGCUUGAACUGCAAUGUGGAGUUAGUUAAGUAGAAAGGAGGUGCCACCCAUGAUAGGUACUCAGUCGCUGUUUGUUAAUUAAUUUCAGUUUGUUCCGAUUUGUAAUGAUUACCUGGAAAAUCGUUCAAGGGCUAGGAGUUUGUUCUUAUCCCCACUGUUUUUAUUAUGUCAAUGAAAAAGAUAAACCUGUCCAUUUUCGAGUCUAGGGAUAUAAUCCAAAAAAAAAAAAAUACUAGACCUUACCUUUGGCUGAGAUGGGGAGUGCACUUAUAGUUUUUCUAAUUAGGAGACAUCUUCUUGGUCUACUUGUGUCAUAGCAAAAAGUUUUAAAAGCUUUUGAAAAGAUCACGUUUUGCUCACUUGAAAUAUGUGUGUAUAUUUUAGCAUAAACUACACUUGGCAGCUGCUAACAUAAUUGGAUGGCUACGCCUUGCAAAAGCUUGAUUUCUUUUUAAUCAAAUUUUUAGAAUCAUACUGGGUUUUUUGCCAGUGCUGCGACAGUGAGCAAUAAAUACAUCAUUAGAUCAAUGGUGUUCUGAUGAUGGAUUACUCCAAAGAUACUUCCAGCCAAGAAGACUAAGCCCAUAGUCUCAUUGUGCAAAGAUGAAUAAAAUAUUGUUUAAAACACAGAUACGCAGUUAACAUAACAAGGAAGAAAACAUUGCAAAAUAGAACACAACAGCCAUGGGUUUAUAAUGUAGCAAUAUUGAUCACGGAUUUUCCUAAGUACUCUAGAGCAGCCAUGCUAUUAUAUAUGCCUCUGAUUAGACCCAGAGAUGAGAAGGAAAAAGUUAUAAAAAAGGAAACUAACAGAGGAAGGCCUGCUGCUAUAAUAAAUUAUUUAAAGCAAGCAGGGCGAGCGGGUUGUGAAGACAAUAUAAAACAGAAUCAAUGCCCCCAAGAAACCCCAAACCAUCAGCACCUCUAUAAAUUUCUCACCACUCUGUCUGGCAUGUUCCUGGGGCUUCUUCUUUCCCAGCACCCUCCCCAUCCCAUCCCACCCCUACCCUUCACAUUUUGUCUGUUCGUUUCUGAGAACUUAACAUUUGUUUUUCUUCUGUAACCUAGGAUGUUGUCUUCAGUUAUAUUUCUCAUCUUCUAUUAGAAGAGUGUCUGCAAGGCCACAGAUGAACGCAUCUGUCACUUCAAUUAUCUCCAUCUUAAAUUUCCCGUGGAAACAAUAAGCUGGUAAUAUCUAACAUGAUACUUACAACAUGACUUUGACAUUACUCUUCUCCUCCUUUUUUCUUACCAUUGUUGUAGUUAAAUCCACAAAGUGAAAGCUAGAGUAAAACUUACAUAGCUCCAUCAGUAUUCUGUAUGAGGACGUGUCUAGGACCAAAAAUCUAAAGUAAAGGUAAGAACUUGGUAAGGGUAUGUUGGGGGAAAAAGAGUCAAAAUGGCUACAAUUCAAGUAUUAGGAGAUGUUAAAAGGGCAGAUUGACUUGAAAAGUAAAUACUUUAUAGGUAGAUUUUGCCAUGGGAAUAGGGGUGGGGAAAGAAGGGUGAAAAAACGAGAAAAGAAGUCGCCAAAUUCCUUUUGCCAAAAGUAUGCCAUGGCCAAAAAAAAAAAAAAGAA